Epinephelus fuscoguttatus (brown-marbled grouper) is the source of this 235-nucleotide long non-coding RNA. RefSeq lists it as uncharacterized. The transcript is spliced from 3 exons. Lineage: Eukaryota; Metazoa; Chordata; Actinopteri; Perciformes; Serranidae. The record is from RefSeq and is a predicted model, not a curated record.
CCCCGGGCGGCCUGAGGGAGAGCAGGGAGUCGAUGCGGAACCUGGAGGCAGACACCUCCAUCUCCGGCCGGACUCAGAGAAAAGUGAGGGAGCUGGUACAGAGCCCUGAGGGACUCCUCCUCCUCUUCUGAUGACCACAGCUCAGUCCAGACUGUACGUCCCCAGACCCUGAACUCCUCUCCUGGACACUGAGUCCGACUGAUGAGCCCUGAACGCCCGCAUACGAGCCUCCUGG